UCACGUAUAUGAUCAUUAAUAACAGUAUAAAAACAGUAAUAAUUGUUUGUGGUAACUAUGAUUGCAGCUGUCUGCAUCUACUGGGUAAAUAAUGCACAGCUGAUUGCAUAUGUGUGAUAAAAUUAGAUAACUGUACUUGCACUGGGUUCAUAUGCUGUCACGUACAAAAAGGUAGGUAGAUGUUUGUUGCUUUCUGCAAAAGCAAAAUUUGCUUCUUGCACAGUGAUGUAUGGUUAUGUUUGGUGCUUGUCUGUUCCCAAAGGUGAUAGGGCAGCUCUGCACGUGUUCUCUCUCCUGUAGGAGCUAAAAGGUUGUUUUACUGCUCACUACUCUGUCUGCCUUUACAGUUCUCCAAAACACUGUCCACCUUUCUGCUAUUAAAAAAUCUGCAUUUGAUGCAUUCAGCCUCUGUAAAUUCACUUUUCUAUUAGUUUCUUAUAUAGCAUUUUGGUAUUAACAUUGUAGGUUACUCCUAAAAAAAAGCCUUCUACUUAUUUCCACGGAGGGUAGAAAAGAUACAAAGAGCACAAGAGCGCUUUGAUAGAGCAACUUCUCAGAUAUGAAGUACUGUUUUUCAGUGUAGUCACAAUCAUCAGCUGAUUUGUGCAGCUGUCCAGAGUGUGGCUUGUCUGUCACCACUGCUGGUCUCCAUAAGGGUUCAGCAAGGACUGUUAGAUGUCAGUGGGUGCAAGCUUCAAGACAUGCAGUUUUCAACUCCACACCUUUGCUCCAUAUGCUCUUCCAUGUCAGGUGCUGUUUUUCAGACUGCUCCUCUGCUGCCAUCUGACACAUGGCAACAAUGUGGGAUGGAAUGGAAUAUUGGUGGGAAGCUUCAACCUCUGUUGCCAUACUGUUAGCAUUCAUUGGUUGUGGGCCAUUAUAAUAAAAUGGCAGGCAUUACUUUCAGUGCAGCCCUCAUACACCUCUGCUGGACAAUCCACAUUAUAGGACAGAUCUCUGCAGAACUGUAUUGGCAUCUUUCCUCCACUGCAGGAGUUAACCAUUAACUCACCCCUACCCACUCAGUCCCUUUCAUAUUUAUUAAUAAUUGAUCAGGCUUUACUAAUUAAGUUGUUCUUUCAAGCCUAAAGCUUCUUUUAAAAGUGCCUGAGACAUAAUUAGAAGCCCUUUGGAAAUCUGUGUCUUUAAUCAUCUGUGCGUUGCAAUCCACCCAAUGUGAUACUGGAGCUCCUUUUUUCUUCAGCUGAGAUUGCUCCCAUCCAAGAUGCUGGAAGACUACCACUGAGUAGGCAUUUCAGCAGCCACUCUGACUGAAACAUAUGCAAGUCUUCUUCAUCAUUAUCAAUAUAAACUUCCUCCAUGCUGAUUAUACUCUUGUUCAGUUUAAAUGGAAAACGAAAAACCUGAACUCUGGCCUCACCAAAUGUAUUACAAGACAACCUCAUACACUACCUUUUUUGAUAUUAAAAAACAAUGUUAACAACCACAUUCUGCUGUGCUGGUCCCACCACAGAAAUUGCACUUUCAUACACGCUAUGUUGCUCGUGGUCCUUUUUUGCUGCCAAAUAACAAAGUCUUGCAAGGGAAGGGGCACAGGACAGGUUGUAUCUACAAGGAGGAAGCUGCUGUCUGUCUCUCUCAGCAUGCAAGCACAGCAGUAAAAUCAGUAACACUGUAUGGCCAUCCUUGCUCUUUCCCUAUUUGGAGUUAAGAAUGGGCUUACACUAGCCCAGCGAACAACUACACCAAAGCAUAGGAUAUAGGAGCUACAACUCCACCACAGCAGGGAUUCAUAUAAACUUAUUUGAAAGAAGCAGGGCAGGGAUAGGGAAGAUGAAAGACCAAGCAAAGGGUAUUGAUAUUGUAGUUAUUUCUGUUAAUAAAAAACCAAACUCUAAGAAAAUGAGUAUUUCUGAACUUGUAUGAAUUUUGUUUGGAGUAUUCAAAAGCAAAAAAAAAAAAAAAAAUUGUAUGAUAAUAAGCUCCUCACACAAUCUCAGAACAAAUACAAUUCUCCUUCCCACUGUUCACUGUUUAUAGUAUUAUGAUGAGCUAUUUCUCAUUACUCAGAUUGCCUUCUAUCAUCUAUGCAGUGAUGAUUUCCACAUUUUCUUUAAGUGUGAUUAUAUUUAUUUGUAUUUCCAGAGUAAGAGGCUUGGCUUCCACUUUCAAUUUCAGAUAUUAAAGUUUACGAGAUAACUAAAAACCAUGCAAGCUCUAA
Molecule: long non-coding RNA, 2182 nt
Organism: Centrocercus urophasianus (Greater sage-grouse)
Lineage: Eukaryota; Metazoa; Chordata; Aves; Galliformes; Phasianidae
Exons: 3
Source: RefSeq, a predicted model, not a curated record